UUGGGAUUGGGUUAGUAGGAGAUUAUGCCUAAAAUUGGGGGAUUGUGGAUUCUAUUUGAUUUUAAUUUUUAAUUUUUUAUUAUUUUUUCUCUCUCUUCCCAAGUUCCCUCUGACAUUAGUUUCUUCAAUUUCCUGACGUUGUCUUUUCCGUUCUUUUCCCUUUUUGACAUUUUGCCCUUUCUCUGUAAAUAUUUUCUUCGUUCUUCUUCGAUUCUGUUAGUGAACUUGUCUCCCAAUCAUGCUUUUAGAAUUGCCAGGUUCUUUAAUCGGCUUGGUAAGUAGAAUUUCGUUUAUUGUUACCAUUUGGUUUUUGAGAUGUUAGCGAUGUUAAAUGGUAGCCAUUAAUUGGUGAUUAAU
This 357-nucleotide long non-coding RNA is filed under the name Gossypium raimondii (Peruvian cotton). Its description in RNAcentral is "long non-coding RNA (GRAI_LNC001333)". The record is from RNAcentral. Lineage: Eukaryota; Viridiplantae; Streptophyta; Magnoliopsida; Malvales; Malvaceae.